UGAGGAAUAUUGGUCAAUGGGCGAGAGCCUGAACCAGCCAAGUAGCGUGCAGGAUGACUGCCCUAUGGGUUGUAAACUGCUUUUAUAUGGGAAUAAAGUGAGGGACGUGUCCCUUAUUGCAUGUACCAUACGAAUAAGGACCGGCUAAUUCCGUUCCAGCAGCCGCGGUAAUACGGAAGGUCCAGGCGUUAUCCGGAUUUCUUGGGCUUAAAGGGAGCGUAGGUUGUUUGUUAAGCGUGUUGUGAAAUGUAGGAGCUCAACUUUUAGAUUGCAGCGCGAACUGGCAGACUUGAGUGCGCACAACGUAGGCGGAAUUCAUGGUGUAGCGGUGAAAUGCUUAGAUAUCAUGACGAACUCCGAUUGCGAAGGCAGCUUACGGGAGCGCAACUGACGCUAAAGCUCGAAGGUGCGGGUAUCGAACAGG
RNAcentral lists this ribosomal RNA (424 nucleotides) under Verrucomicrobiota bacterium. RNAcentral describes it as "Verrucomicrobia bacterium partial 16S ribosomal RNA". It matches the Rfam family "Bacterial small subunit ribosomal RNA", at positions 355 to 776 of the family's 1533-position model. Lineage: Bacteria; Pseudomonadati; Verrucomicrobiota. The record is from RNAcentral.